Molecule: ribosomal RNA, 1014 nt
Filed under: Triticum aestivum (bread wheat)
Lineage: Eukaryota; Viridiplantae; Streptophyta; Magnoliopsida; Poales; Poaceae
Description: partial small subunit ribosomal RNA
Source: RNAcentral
AUGAUAAAAACAAGCCCACAAACCUCGGUAACUAAGCCGGGCUCCGAUGAACCUUUUGCCCGUUUUAAACGACACGAUCGAGCAACUACGCGGAAGGCUUCAAUGGGGGAAGGGAAAAGAUCGAAUUGGGAAUCCACGGAGACCACUGCCAUGGAACGCUACUUCUCCACGGACGUGCUGGUGGACAUCCUGCAGCGGCUCCCGCCGAGCAGCCGCCGCAGGGCGCGCCUCGUCUGCCAGGUCUGGCGCGACGUCGUCGACGAGCGCACCACGGAGAUGCAGAGCCGCGCGAAGCCCCUCCUCUGGCACACAGGCAACGCCGUCGCCUACGUCGUCGACGACCCGUCCUCGGCGCGGAGCUGCAGGCAGCUGUGGAGGAGCGCCGCGAAAGGCCGCAACAGCGAAGCGGUGCAGCUUGUCGGCACGUGCAACGGCCUGCUCUGCCUGUGCGACGACGAGGAGCGCGCCGGCGGCGCCCUCACGGUCGUCAACCCGGCCACCGGCGCGAAGCUGCCCAUCCCGCCGCUGCCGUGCGCCGGGCCGCUCGUCGGGCGCCAGACCACGGAGAAGUGGAGCAAGGAGGAGGCAUGGCACGAGGCGUACUGCUUCGCGUACCACCCCACGACGGGGAAGCACAAGGUGGUGCACGUCCCGUGCAGCUACGAACGGGUCUGCGAGUUCCGUGGGCACGCCUCGGCCCAAGCAUGGGUUCUGGAGGAAGAAGGGCAGAGAUGGAGUCGCCGGUACAUCCUCGAGCAGCGUGUCCCACUGCCGCACUUUGCAUACGCCGGCGAGUGCAUCCUCACGGUGCGCAACGGGGCGUCGUUUUACGCGCACCGCCGGAAAGAUGCGGCGUCUUCGGGCAGGAGGCUGCGUCGUGACGAAGACAAUGGCGUGGUGCGCGUCGGUCACGAGGAUGAGGGGAGGCUUGUCGUGAACAUGGGGGGCUACGUCGGAGACUACUACCGGACGUUUGCCUACGCCAAGACGAUGGAGCCACUACAAAUUGGUUAA